GAUGAAGAACGUAGUGAAAUGCGAUAAGUAAUGUGAAUUGCAGAAUUCAGUGAAUCAUCGAAUCUUUGAACGCACAUUGCGCCCCCUGGUAUUCCGGGGGGCAUGCCUGUUCGAGCGUCAUUUCACCACUCAAGCCUCGCUUGGCAUUGGGCAACGCGGUCCGCCGCGUGCCUCAAAUCGACCGGCUGGGUCUUCUGUCCCCUAAGCGUUGUGGAAACUUUCGCUAAAGGGUGUUCGGGAGGCUACGCCGUAAAACAACCCCAUUUCUAAGGUUGACCUCGGAUCAGGUAGGGAUACCCGCUGAACUUAAGCAUAUCAAUAAGCGGAGGA
RNAcentral lists this unclassified non-coding RNA (330 nucleotides) under soil metagenome. RNAcentral describes it as "partial contains 5.8S ribosomal RNA, internal transcribed spacer 2, and large subunit ribosomal RNA". The stretch from base 1 to 120 matches the Rfam family "5.8S ribosomal RNA", at positions 35 to 154 of the family's 154-position model. The record is from RNAcentral.